CCUACGGGUGGCAGCAGUGGGGAAUAUUGGACAAUGGGCGAAAGCCUGAUCCAGCCAUGCCGCGUGUGUGAAGAAGGCCUUCGGGUUGUAAAGCACUUUCAGUGGGGAAGAAAGCCUUGGGGCUAAUACCCUCGAGGAAGGACAUCACCCACAGAAGAAGCACCGGCUAACUCCGUGCCAGCAGCCGCGGUAAUACGGAGGGUGCGAGCGUUAAUCGGAAUUACUGGGCGUAAAGCGCGCGUAGGCGGUCUGAUAAGCCGGUUGUGAAAGCCCCGGGCUCAACCUGGGAACGGCAUCCGGAACUGUCAGGCUUGAGUGCAGGAGAGGAAGGUAGAAUUCCCGGUGUAGCGGUGAAAUGCGUAGAGAUCGGGAGGAAUACCAGUGGCGAAGGCGGCCUUCUGGACUGACACUGACGCUGAGGUGCGAAAGCGUGGGUAGCAAACAGGAUUAGAUACCCCAGUAGUC
Molecule: ribosomal RNA, 465 nt
Filed under: Vreelandella stevensii
Lineage: Bacteria; Pseudomonadati; Pseudomonadota; Gammaproteobacteria; Oceanospirillales; Halomonadaceae
Description: partial 16S ribosomal RNA
Rfam family: Bacterial small subunit ribosomal RNA
Source: RNAcentral